RNAcentral lists this ribosomal RNA (774 nucleotides) under uncultured Neocallimastigales. Its description in RNAcentral is "partial large subunit ribosomal RNA". It matches the Rfam family "Eukaryotic large subunit ribosomal RNA", at positions 24 to 635 of the family's 3401-position model. The record is from RNAcentral. Lineage: Eukaryota; Fungi; Neocallimastigomycota; Neocallimastigomycetes; Neocallimastigales.
UAUGUGAUCGUCUCUCGCAUAUCAAUAAGCGGAGGAAAAGAAACUAACAAGGAUUCCCCUAGUAACGGCGAGUGAAGCGGGAAGAGCUCAAAUUUGAAAUCUUAAAGGGUUUCCCUUUACGAAUUGUAGUUUAAAGAAGUGUUUUCUGUUGAGGUUUUGGUAAAAGUUCUUGGAAUAGGACAUCAUAGAGGGUGAGAAUCCCGUAUUUGACCUUUACUUUCAACUUUGUGAUACACUUUCAAAGAGUCGGAUUGUUUGGGAAUGCAGUCCAAAAUGGGUGGUAAAUUUCAUCUAAAGCUAAAUAUUGGCGAGAGACCGAUAGCGAACAAGUACCGUGAGGGAAAGAUGAAAAGAACUUUGAAAAGAGAGUUAAACAGUACGUGGAAAUUGUCAAAAGGGAAGCGUUUGACACCAGUGUUGUUUUUCUGAAAAUCAAUUAAAGAACUGUUUAUGCUAAGUCGUUUAGACUUUAUCAGCUAUCUGCUUAGUUUUGAGCUUUUCUUUAAUGCACUUUUCAGUUAACAAGUCAACAUCAAUUUCUUUUGCUGUAAAAAAGCUUGAGGAAGGUGGCUUGAGAUUCGUCUUAAGUGUUUAUAGCCUCUUGCCUAUGCAGUCGGAGAGAUUGAGGUCUGCAGCGUAGAUCCUUCGGGGCUAAAUGCAUUUGUGCUAAGUUAUAGCAUUUUAUAGACAACUUGUUGACUAUGAUUUGUCUUGUAGCUUACUCGCUUAUGUUAUUUUACCUACGCUUAGGAUGUUGAUCUACAGAGCGAGAGU